UAAGUUAAUAAGGGCGCACGGUGGAUGCCUUGGCACUAGGAGCCGACGAAGGACGUGACAAACGACGAUAUGCCUUGGGUAGCUGUAAGUAAGCGAUGAUCCAGGGAUUUCCGAAUGGGGGAACCCAACAGGUAAUACCUGUUACCUACAUCUGUUAAGGAUGUGAGGAGGAAGACGCAGUGAACUGAAACAUCUAAGUAGCUGCAGGAAGAGAAAGCAAAAGCGAUUGCCUUAGUAGCGGCGAGCGAAACGGCAGAAGGGCAAACCGAAGAGUUUACUCUUCGGGGUUGUAGGACUGCAAUGUGGACUCAAAGAUUAUAGAAGAAUGAUUUGGGAAGAUCAGCCAAAGAGAGUAAUAGCCUCGUAUUUAAAAUAGUCUUUGUACUUAGCAGUAUCCUGAGUACGGCGGGACACGUGAAAUCCCGUCGGAAUCUGGGAGGACCAUCUCCCAACCCUAAAUACUCCCUAGUGACCGAUAGUGAACCAGUACCGUGAGGGAAAGGUGAAAAGCACCCCGGGAGGGGAGUGAAAUAGAACCUGAAACCGUGUGCCUACAACAAGUUCGAGCCCGUUAAUGGGUGAGAGCGUGCCUUUUGUAGAAUGAACCGGCGAGUUACGUUAUGAUGCGAGGUUAAGUUGAAGAGACGGAGCCGUAGGGAAACCGAGUCUGAAUAGGGCGCCUUAGUAUCAUGACGUAGACCCGAAACCAUGUGACCUACCCAUGAGCAGGUUGAAGGUGCGGUAAGACGCACUGGAGGACCGAACCAGGGCACGUUGAAAAGUGCUUGGAUGACUUGUGGGUAGCGGAGAAAUUCCAAACGAACUUGGAGAUAGCUGGUUCUCUCCGAAAUAGCUUUAGGGCUAGCGUCGACAUUAGAGAUUCUUGGAGGUAGAGCACUGUUUGGGUGAGGGGUCCAUCCCGGAUUACCAAUCUCAGAUAAACUCCGAAUGCCAAUGAAUUAUGGUCGGCAGUCAGACUGCGAGUGCUAAGAUCCGUAGUCGAAAGGGAAACAGCCCAGACCACCAGCUAAGGUCCCAAAAUAAUUGUUAAGUGGAAAAGGAUGUGGGGUUGCACAGACAACUAGGAUGUUAGCUUAGAAGCAGCUAUUCAUUCAAAGAGUGCGUAAUAGCUCACUAGUCGAGUGACCCUGCGCCGAAAAUGUACCGGGGCUAAAACAAUUUACCGAAGCUGUGGAUACCUUUAUAGGUAUGGUAGGAGAGCGUUCUAUGUGUGAUGAAGGUAUACCGUGAGGAGUGCUGGAACGCAUAGAAGUGAGAAUGCCGGUAUGAGUAGCGAAAGACAGGUGAGAAUCCUGUCCACCGUAAGACUAAGGUUUCCAGGGGAAGGCUCGUCCGCCCUGGGUUAGUCGGGAACUAAGGAGAGACCGAAAGGUGUAUCCGAUGGACAACAGGUUGAUAUUCCUGUACUAGAGUAUGUAGUGAUGGAGGGACGCAGUAGGCUAACUAAAGCAGACGAUUGGAAGAGUCUGUCUAAGCAGUGAGGUGUGAAUUGAGUCAAAUGCUUAAUUCUAUAACAUUGAGCUGUGAUGGGGAGCGAAGUUUAGUAGCGAAGUUAGUGACGUCACACUGCCAAGAAAAGCUUCUAGCGUUUAAACAUACUCUACCCGUACCGCAAACCGACACAGGUAGUCGAGGCGAGUAGCCUCAGGUGAGCGAGAGAACUCUCGUUAAGGAACUCGGCAAAAUGACCCCGUAACUUCGGGAGAAGGGGUGCUGACUUAAAGUCAGCCGCAGUGAAUAGGCCCAAGCAACUGUUUAUCAAAAACACAGCUCUCUGCUAAAUCGUAAGAUGAUGUAUAGGGGGUGACGCCUGCCCGGUGCUGGAAGGUUAAGAGGAGUGCUUAGCGUAAGCGAAGGUAUGAAUUGAAGCCCCAGUAAACGGCGGCCGUAACUAUAACGGUCCUAAGGUAGCGAAAUUCCUUGUCGGGUAAGUUCCGACCCGCACGAAAGGCGUAAUGAUUUGGGCACUGUCUCAACGAGAGACUCGGUGAAAUUUUAGUACCUGUGAAGAUGCAGGUUACCCGCGACAGGACGGAAAGACCCCAUGGAGCUUUACUGCAGUUUGAUAUUGAGUGUCUGUACCACAUGUACAGGAUAGGUAGGAGUCUAAGAGAUCGGGACGCCAGUUUCGAAGGAGACGCUGUUGGGAUACUACCCUUGUGUUAUGGCCACUCUAACCCAGAUAGGUGAUCCCUAUCGGAGACAGUGUCUGACGGGCAGUUUGACUGGGGCGGUCGCCUCCUAAAAGGUAACGGAGGCGCCCAAAGGUUCCCUCAGAAUGGUUGGAAAUCAUUCGCAGAGUGUAAAGGUAUAAGGGAGCUUGACUGCGAGAGCUACAACUCGAGCAGGGACGAAAGUCGGGCUUAGUGAUCCGGUGGUUCCGUAUGGAAGGGCCAUCGCUCAACGGAUAAAAGCUACCCUGGGGAUAACAGGCUUAUCUCCCCCAAGAGUUCACAUCGACGGGGAGGUUUGGCACCUCGAUGUCGGCUCGUCGCAUCCUGGGGCUGUAGUCGGUCCCAAGGGUUGGGCUGUUCGCCCAUUAAAGCGGCACGCGAGCUGGGUUCAGAACGUCGUGAGUACAGUUCGGUCCCUAUCCGUCGCGGGCGUAGGAAAUUUGAGAGGAUCUGCUCCUAGUACGAGAGGACCAGAGUGGACUUACCGCUGGUGUACCAGUUGUCUUGCCAAAGGCAUCGCUGGGUAGCUAUGUAGGGAAGGGAUAAACGCUGAAAGCAUCUAAGUGUGAAACCCACCUCAAGAUGAGAUUUCCCAUGAUUAUAUAUCAGUAAGAGCCCUGAGAGAUGAUCAGGUAGAUAGGUUAGAAGUGGAAGUGUGGCGACACAUGUAGCGGACUAAUACUAAUAGCUCGAGGACUUAUCCA
This 2899-nucleotide ribosomal RNA is filed under the name Streptococcus pneumoniae GA43265. Its description in RNAcentral is "bacterial LSU rRNA". It matches the Rfam family "Bacterial large subunit ribosomal RNA". Lineage: Bacteria; Bacillati; Bacillota; Bacilli; Lactobacillales; Streptococcaceae. The record is from RNAcentral.